AAAUGGCGGUCAACAGAGGGAUGCAAAACCGUGAGGUGGAGCGAACCCCUAAAAGCCGUCCCAGUUCAGAUCGCAGUCUGCAACCCGACUGCGUGAAGUCGGAAUCGCUAGUAAUCGCGGAUCAGCAUGCCGCGGUGAAUACGUUCCCGGGCCUUGUACACACCGCCCGUCACACCAUGAGAGUUGGGAACACCCGAAGUCCGUAGCCUAACCGCAAGGGGGCGCGGCCGAAGGUGGGUUCAAUAAUUGGGGUGAAGUCGUAACAAGGUAUC
RNAcentral lists this ribosomal RNA (272 nucleotides) under uncultured bacterium. Its description in RNAcentral is "partial 16S ribosomal RNA". It matches the Rfam family "Bacterial small subunit ribosomal RNA", at positions 1228 to 1500 of the family's 1533-position model. The record is from RNAcentral.